GACUUGGGCACGUGAAGGACAUGGUCGGUUUAUGGACACCCGUAUGCAGCUGGAAAGCACGAAGAUAACAGACGGCUUGAUGCAUGCUCAAUCAUCCAGAAAAUUGUUUCAAAUUCAGAUAUAUCCAGUUCCCAGUGUGUUGAAGGUUUGGCCACUAAUUUACAUUUCUACAGUUUAUGGCUCUGUUCUAAGACCACCAUCCCAACGCUCUGAUGUUCAAAAAUGGAAAGGUGAACAGCGGGAAUACACUGCGCCUGGUGGCGUCCCAAUUUAGCUCCGAUGCAGCCACUGGAGCUGACUGCACCCACCCAAGGCAAUUCCCGCAAUUCCAGUGUUGCAGAAGCAUCCGAUCACUUAAAGUAGCACUGCAUCUAUAAUUUUUACAAGAGCCAUGUCAAACUGAACAGAGCAGAUAAGAAGGGCAGACAGCUGGGCACAAGAACGGCAUAGGGAAUUAUGAAUUUUUAAAAUAAAAGUGCUCAGCCAGACAAAAAUUAAGCUUCUGAGAUGAUCCCUGCGUGAUAUGAAGGCAUGGGAAGCUUUAUGGAACAAGACUGCAUCAAAGAUGCGGCGUCAAAGACAUGCAUUAAUUGUAUUCCCAAUCGAUCGCCAUGUAUGGAAUUGAGUCGUGAAGGAAAUUCAACAACCUUCGGCACCCACAGCAGCGUAUGGGCUUAGGAGCUGAUCCACGCCAGCUACGGAUCAAAGAAAAGAAGAAGACACCUGAAGCCACACAGCUAUCAAGCUGGUUACCCCCAUGAACCAACACUUUUAAACAGUAAGAGUGAUCUUAAUUAUCUUAACGCCAUACACUGCACACACAAAUAUGACACAUAAUUCUUGUUAAGGCCUUUUACUAUAUACUAAUUUAUCUCCAAUGUUAUAUAUUUUCUUUGACUUAUGUAUUGCCUAUUUGCUUAGUCUUGUGUUGAGUAUUACUAGUUGGUUACAUUUUUUGUUGUUUGAUGAUUUCUUUCUAUUUUUGUCCCCCUUAUGGAUCAACCGGGUCUGAUUAGCCAGAAUUUAAGUCCGCUCUGUCCGCUUUAGAUCAGUUUUAUUCUGUUGAGCAGGUAAUUCUGUUCAUUUCACCUCUGUGUUGUUACUGAAUUUUGUAUGUUUUUGCAGUUUUGGGCAAAUAAAACCAGUUUUUCUCAAAAUAA
Long non-coding RNA from Oreochromis niloticus (Nile tilapia), 1160 nucleotides. RefSeq lists it as uncharacterized. The record is from RefSeq and is a predicted model, not a curated record. Lineage: Eukaryota; Metazoa; Chordata; Actinopteri; Cichliformes; Cichlidae. The transcript is spliced from 2 exons.